GCGAGGGUCGCCCAGCCAGGUCAAAGGCGCAGGGCUUAGGACCCUGUCUCGAAGGAGUUCGUGAGUUCAAAUCUCACCCCUCGCA
Molecule: transfer RNA, 85 nt
Filed under: Methanosarcinales archaeon ex4484_138
Lineage: Archaea; Methanobacteriati; Methanobacteriota; Methanomicrobia; Methanosarcinales
Also listed under: 4 other names
Description: tRNA-Leu
Rfam family: tRNA
About the family: Transfer RNA (tRNA) molecules are approximately 80 nucleotides in length. Their secondary structure includes four short double-helical elements and three loops (D, anti-codon, and T loops). Further hydrogen bonds mediate the characteristic L-shaped molecular structure. tRNAs have two regions of fundamental functional importance: the anti-codon, which is responsible for specific mRNA codon recognition, and the 3' end, to which the tRNAs corresponding amino acid is attached (by aminoacyl-tRNA synthetases). tRNAs cope with the degeneracy of the genetic code in two manners: having more than one tRNA (with a specific anti-codon) for a particular amino acid; and 'wobble' base-pairing, i.e. permitting non-standard base-pairing at the 3rd anti-codon position.
Source: RNAcentral